RNAcentral lists this transfer RNA (84 nucleotides) under Staphylococcus felis. Its description in RNAcentral is "tRNA-Tyr". It matches the Rfam family "tRNA". Rfam says of the family: Transfer RNA (tRNA) molecules are approximately 80 nucleotides in length. Their secondary structure includes four short double-helical elements and three loops (D, anti-codon, and T loops). The record is from RNAcentral. Lineage: Bacteria; Bacillati; Bacillota; Bacilli; Caryophanales; Staphylococcaceae.
GGAGGGGUAGCGAAGUGGCUAAGCGCGGCGGACUGUAAAUCCGCUCCUUCGGGUUCGGCAGUUCGAAUCUGCCCCCCUCCACCA